UUAUAUGUAUUUUAUCAAACAUUUAUUUCAUAUUUUUUAUUGUAGUCGUAUCCUGUAUUCAUGUUACAACCUGCGAAUAUGAUAACGAUUCGACUAUAGUAGACAUAUAUGACACGACCGAGGAAACAACCGAUGAUUUCUAUACAACUGAGAGCGGAGAUGAAAUUAUAGAACGUAUGAAACAAUUCGAAUCAAUUCUAAAUUUGUUGAGAUAUCCAGCGAUUGUUCUUCAGGAUGCCUUUCAGACCAUGUUCUUCAAAACAGGUGACUUGAAACCAACAGUAAUCUUAGAUUCUCUAGUGUCAAGAAUUUUACCUUUAUUAGAAAAUGAAGACAAAGAAGUAUUAUUCACUCUCUUUACUUUCAUAAAAGACUAUUUAACAAGAGAACUUUCCUUCGACGAUCUCCUGAUAUAUUAUAAUGAAAUCGAACCCGCAUUGAAACACAAAUUUGAUAUACUUAUCAUAGCAUUACAGGAUUUGAAUGCAGAGCUAUUGAAGUACAACGCCAUGGAUAUAACCCCUGAAAUUAGAGCAAUUCUUCAAAUACAGCAAAAGAUCUAUAGUAGAAUGUUCUACAUAGAUUUUUCUCAGAAUAAAAAAUAAAUAUAAUUCGCACCAUACUGAUUUGAAAAUUUUCAGACUUAAUUUAACAAUCAUUUUAAAUAUUCAAGAUUAAUUAUAACGAUGUUCAACCUCACCGAUGCUAUCGGAAGUAUAGAAAAUUAUGAUUGUCUUUUACAUUGUAUUAUACUUUUAAUCAAAUAAAUUUAUUGCAUUGAAUUA
Molecule: long non-coding RNA, 785 nt
Filed under: Centruroides sculpturatus (bark scorpion)
Lineage: Eukaryota; Metazoa; Arthropoda; Arachnida; Scorpiones; Buthidae
Description: uncharacterized LOC111622245
Source: RNAcentral